GGGAAUUUUGCGCAAUGGGGGAAACCCUGACGCAGCAACGCCGCGUGGAGGAUGAAAUCCCUUGGGAUGUAAACUCCUUUCGAUCGGGACGAUAAUGACGGUACCGAUAGAAGAAGCCCCGGCUAACUUCGUGCCAGCAGCCGCGGUAAUACGAGGGGGGCAAGCGUUGUUCGGAAUUAUUGGGCGUAAAGGGUGCGUAGGCGGUUUGAUAAGUCUUGUGUGAAAUCUAUGGGCUCAACCCAUAGUCUGCACAGGAAACUGUCGGGCUUGAGAGUGGGAGAGGUGAGUGGAAUUUCCGGUGUAGCGGUGAAAUGCGUAGAUAUCGGAAGGAACACCUGUGGCGAAAGCGGCUCACUGGACCAUUUCUGACGCUGAUGCACGAAAGCUAGGGGAGCAAACA
This 400-nucleotide ribosomal RNA is filed under the name uncultured bacterium. RNAcentral describes it as "bacterial SSU rRNA". It matches the Rfam family "Bacterial small subunit ribosomal RNA", at positions 357 to 774 of the family's 1533-position model. The record is from RNAcentral.